Molecule: transfer RNA, 72 nt
Filed under: Histampica haimaensis
Lineage: Eukaryota; Metazoa; Echinodermata; Ophiuroidea; Amphilepidida; Ophiactidae
Also listed under: 1 other name
Description: Histampica sp. h LQ-2021 tRNA-Asn
Rfam family: tRNA
About the family: Transfer RNA (tRNA) molecules are approximately 80 nucleotides in length.
Source: RNAcentral
UAGGUUAAAGUUCAAUAGUCGAGCAUCCGGCCGUUAACCGGGGAGAAGCUGGAUCAAUACCAGUUAACCUAA